RNAcentral lists this long non-coding RNA (222 nucleotides) under Malus domestica (apple). RNAcentral's name for it is "long non-coding RNA (MDOM_LNC001839)". Lineage: Eukaryota; Viridiplantae; Streptophyta; Magnoliopsida; Rosales; Rosaceae. The record is from RNAcentral.
UAUUCAAAACCUAUGCAAUAUGCUCAAUCAAACUCAGUUCGUCAAUAAAUUAUAAUCAAAUUCUUAAUGAAUUAAAUUCUUUGGUGCAGGGCUCACAAAAUCAAGCCAAGGAGGCUCAACAAGAUGGAUAUUGGCAGCAAUCUGAGGAGUUUUAUUUAACCCCUAUGCAGCCACCACCGCAUACCCCACAACAAUUCCAAUCAAAUUCAAGUAUGUCCAUGG